This 290-nucleotide ribosomal RNA is filed under the name Taenia martis (marten tapeworm). RNAcentral's name for it is "partial 12S ribosomal RNA". The record is from RNAcentral. Lineage: Eukaryota; Metazoa; Platyhelminthes; Cestoda; Cyclophyllidea; Taeniidae.
GUAUUUUGUAUUUAUUAUCUUAGUUUUAUAACUAAAAUGGUUUGGCAGUGAGUGAUUCUUUUUAGGGGAAGGUGUGGUGUAAAGGAUGUUCCGCCUAUUAUUUUACUUUUAUUAUGUUGGUGUAUAUCUGAUUUAAUAUUAUUGCUUAAUGGUUUAAGUUUGUGUAUAUUUAUUUAAGUCAAGUCUAUGUGCUGCUUAUAAAAGUAUUCAUGCGUUACAUUUAAUAAUAUGUUGGUUGAAAUAUUAAUUAAUUUAGGACUUAAUAGUAAUAUUUAAUUAAUUUGUAAAUG